This 252-nucleotide ribosomal RNA is filed under the name uncultured bacterium. RNAcentral's name for it is "partial 16S ribosomal RNA". It matches the Rfam family "Bacterial small subunit ribosomal RNA", at positions 524 to 776 of the family's 1533-position model. The record is from RNAcentral.
UACGUAGGGACCAAGCGUUGUUCGGAUUUACUGGGCGUAAAGGGCGCGUAGGCGGCAAUUCAAGUCAUCUGUGAAAUCUCCGGGCUUAACCCGGAACGGUCAGAUGAUACUGCUUGCUAGAGUGGCGGAAGGGCAAUCGGAAUUCUUGGUGUAGCGGUGAAAUGCGUAGAUAUCAAGAGGAACACCUGAGGUGAAGACGGGUUGCUGGGCCGACACUGACGCUGAGGAGCGAAAGCGUGGGGAGCGAACAGG